RNAcentral lists this ribosomal RNA (206 nucleotides) under uncultured bacterium. Its description in RNAcentral is "partial 16S ribosomal RNA". It matches the Rfam family "Bacterial small subunit ribosomal RNA", at positions 568 to 774 of the family's 1533-position model. The record is from RNAcentral.
CGCGUAGGCGGACAAGUAAGUCGGGCGUGAAAUCCCUAGGCUCAACCUAGGAACUGCACUCGAAACUGCCUGUCUUGAGUACCGGAGAGGAAAGCGGAAUACCUGGUGUAGAGGUGAAAUUCGUAGAUAUCAGGUGGAACACCAGUGGCGAAGGCGGCUUUCUGGACGGUAACUGACGCUGAGGCGCGAAAGCGUGGGAGCAAACA